GAGUUAUCACUUCGAUCUAUGGUUGCUGGUGCUGAGAAAUGCCUCGAUGACAUUUUCAUUGUUAAAAAUGGACUAUGGAAACAAGAUCAGUCAACAUGUGUGAGUGCACCUUCACCAAUCCCACAAAUGCCUCUGCUCUCACGAAUUUAUUACCCUUGGGAGAGCCUCAGCAAGACAGUACUUGAUGCAUUGGAAGCAGACAAUAUUCUGCUUCCCUCUCAACGACAGGAAGUGGCACACAUGGCAGCGUCAUGGCCCUGCAUAUCCAUUGAAGGCACCUGGUUGGUAUCAUUGAGAACGAAGGGAGCCAGCAGGCAUAAAAAAAUCAAGAGGGCUACAUACAUAAAUGCGUGAGGCAAUGAGGGCCGCAGAUGAAUAUAGCAAGAAGU
Ornithodoros turicata is the source of this 389-nucleotide long non-coding RNA. RefSeq lists it as uncharacterized. NCBI's taxonomy places the organism in Eukaryota, Metazoa, Arthropoda, Arachnida, Ixodida, Argasidae. The transcript is spliced from 3 exons. The record is from RefSeq and is a predicted model, not a curated record.